UCCGUAGGCGGCAUGUUAGGUGAGGUGUGAAAUCCCCCGGCUCAACCGAGGAAUUGCGCUUCAAACCGGCGUGCUUGAGGAAGAUAGAGGUGGGCGGAACUGAUGGUGGAGCGGUGAAAUGCGUUGAUAUCAUCAGGAACACCGGAGGCGAAGGCGGCCCACUGGGUCUUUUCUGACGCUGAGGGACGAAAGCUAGGGGAGCGAACGGGAUUAGAUACCCCGGUAGUCCUAGCCUUAAACGAUGAGCACUAGACCGAAGAAUCUCCACGAUUUUUUGGUCGUAGCGAAAGUGUUAAGUGCUCCGCCUGGGGAGUAUGGUCGCAAGGCUGAA
This 331-nucleotide ribosomal RNA is filed under the name uncultured bacterium. RNAcentral describes it as "bacterial SSU rRNA". It matches the Rfam family "Bacterial small subunit ribosomal RNA", at positions 568 to 898 of the family's 1533-position model. The record is from RNAcentral.